AGACCAUAUAGGGCGAGUGGUCGCAUGGUGUCUCCCGGAGAAAACCUUGCGUAAAAUACUGAGGUAGCCAUUUUUCCAAUAGUUUCUUAUGAGAAACCAACUGCCUCGACGGAUAUAUUAUCGAAUACAUAUGUUAAAAACACCUUGAGGAUGGAUCCUAAACAACGUUUGCCGUGUUUCUGUCGAUAUUAUGGAGUUAAUUUUGAAAAAAGUUUGGCGUUGUAAUGGUAGCAUUUUCCGGUCGAUUUCUCAGCCAAGCAUGAUGAACAAACGGGAGCUAUUUCGCCUACAAAAAUAAUAUUUUUGGAAAAAAGGAACAUUUGCUAUCUAACUGGGAGUCUCCUGAGUGAAAGCAUCCGAAGUUCUUUAAAGUGGCAGGGACUGGGAGACUAGUCGGGAUUGACGGAAAGAUGAACGGAGCAAAGUACAGAGAGAUCCUAGAGGAAAACCUGUUCCAGAGCACUGAGGACCUCAGACUGGGACGAAGACGGUGUUCUCUAUCUUCAGACCAGUGGUUAUCCUAGCUCACCCACUUCAAUCAUCUUCUCGUAGUCUAUCAUCGUGGGGGAUGCAAACCCCAUGCUCAGACAGACAGACAGACCCCAGGUCUCGAGUCAAGGACGUGAACCAGAGUUCUCUACCUCUC
Molecule: long non-coding RNA, 646 nt
Organism: Oncorhynchus tshawytscha (Chinook salmon)
Lineage: Eukaryota; Metazoa; Chordata; Actinopteri; Salmoniformes; Salmonidae
Source: Ensembl